CUCCAGUGCUGUGAAAUACUAUCUGACCACUUUCAGAUUUCCUCCAUUUUUAUGUUUACCACCUUGUAAAAAGUUCUGACUUCUUGGAAGAUCGGACUUUUAAGGUGGAACCUAAUGAGGUUAGUUAGUAAAAAGUAAUUUUCUUCAGCAUGGAAGCGGCUGAAGAGACAGCUCAAACUCACACCACCUGUAACCAUGACGACAUACAAGUGGGAAAAGCAAACAGACUGGGGGGAGGAAAUGGAUCUCAUGACCAAAUUGUACUUUUCACUCAAUAAGAGCCUGGUGACGUCCCACCCGACUAGCCUGGAUGGUUCUGGAGAAAGCACCACAAACGGCUGGAGUCCAGAACCUGAGAGUGUAGUGAUGAAUUAGAUGUGAGGUCCAGAUGGACUUGUGAAUCCUGAAUUUCAGUUCUUUAGAACCGGGGGAGCCGAUAAGCGAGAGAUCGUUGUCAUCACUUUGGGUGAAAUACUGACUGGGGCAGGGAGUUUGGAUAGGAACCUGGAGCAGGACAACACUGGCGACAGACAGAAUUAUGGGACAGGAGAGGGUCAGACACGAGAAAGCAGAAUCAGGCAGACAAAGCCGGGGUCAGAGUCCGGACAGCAGGAGCCAGUGAGGUACCCAGUAAGAGAAAACAAAGCAGGGAAAUCCAGGAGACAAAAACAUGGUUGUCAUCAGGCAGGCAGGCCCAUCGGACAUCUACUCCUACUACGGCUUUCAAAAAUCUGGCACUGUCUGCCUGCAAGAGAGCUGCAUUUAAAGGCAGGUGAACAGGUGCAUGAAUGAGCUGAUUGCACGGCUGAGCAGCAGGACACGGGAGCAACAGCUGAGCUGAUUGCAGAGCAGGAGAGUAGUGGUGGAGACAUGGGCAGGCAGAUGGGACAGAAUCGUAACCACAGGCAUGCUGUGAGGCAGCAUCAAGUCAUGGCCACAAAAAGUGCUUCUGAACAACGACGUGAUCAUGGUCUGGAUGAUGAGCAAGACAUGAUGAGUGACUCUGCUGGAGGACCUCGAACAGGCAGCUGCUGCAGGAAAUCAUAAAAUGUGGCAGCCUGGAAAACAUCGCCAGUCCGUCGCAGGCAACUUUGCAGCGAUUCCAUUAAUUGCAAACAGAUAUUUUUGUGACAACUGUUCAGUUGUUUUUCCUCUGAGCAGCGCCCAGAUUCUUUGACUUACACUCUAUUGAAUACUACACAACUGACUGUCCUGUCAGUGUCUAUCUUUUAAAUAGACUGUGCGACUGAUCGCAUGGCAAUGAGGUUUAAAAUGAACAGUUCAUCUUCUGA
This is a long non-coding RNA of Poecilia latipinna (sailfin molly), 1292 nucleotides long. RefSeq lists it as uncharacterized. Lineage: Eukaryota; Metazoa; Chordata; Actinopteri; Cyprinodontiformes; Poeciliidae. The record is from RefSeq and is a predicted model, not a curated record. The transcript has 2 exons.